This is a non-coding RNA of Micropterus salmoides (largemouth bass), 503 nucleotides long. The record is from the annotation of a RefSeq genome assembly. NCBI's taxonomy places the organism in Eukaryota, Metazoa, Chordata, Actinopteri, Centrarchiformes, Centrarchidae.
ACAUGACUUUGGUCUCCGUCCUCAUCUGGACUCUCCUCUGCUGCUGCUUCACAGAGUCCAGAGGCCAGAUCACAGUGACUCAGUCUGGAGCAGUGAGCUCUGCUCUGGGAGCCUCCGUCUCCAUCAGCUGUAGGGUCAGUCAGCAGGUUCAGAGCUGUAGCAGUGCUUACUGUUUACACUGGUACCAACAGAAAGAUGGAGAAACUACUAAACUACUCAUUCGCUACACCAACGAGAGAAUGUCGGGGAUUCCAGGUCGUUUUAGUGGAAGUGGAUCUGGGACUGAUUUCACUCUGACCAUCAGUGGAGUUCAGGCUGAAGAUGCAGCAGUUUACUACUGUCAGAGUUAUCAUAACAUCAACAGUCAGCUUGUGUUCACACGUUCAUCAGGACAAAUCAUCCUGACUCAGUCUCCUGGAUCUCAGUCUGCUGUUCCAGGACAGGCUGUCUCUCUCAAAUGUAAAACCAGUACAGGUGUUUAUAGUUAUGGUUACAACUUUUGA